ACCAACAGGGAUUGCCUUAGUAACGGCGAGUGAAGUGGCAAUAGCUCAAAUUUGAAAUCAAACAAGUUUGUUUGAGUUGUAAUUUGGAGAGGAUGUCUUUGGUUUUGCUUAGAAUCUAAGUCUCCUGGAAUGGAGCAUCAUGGAGGGUGAUAAUCCCGUUUGUGGUUUUAAGUUUUUAAGCCUUAUAAGACUCCUUCAAUGAGUCGAGUUGUUUGGGAAUGCAGCUCUAAAUGGGAGGUAAAUUUCUUCUAAAGCUAAAUAUCAGCUAGAGACCGAUAGUGAACAAGUAGAGUGAUCGAAAGAUGAAAAGUACUUUGGAAAGAAAGUUAAACAGUAUGUGAAAUUGUUGGAAGGGAAGCAUUUGCAAUCAGAUUUGUGUUGUUAAAAAUCACCUACACAUACUAUUGUGCUUAGAGCAUUUUUUUUCAACACUUGUCAACAUCAAUUUGGGUAGUGAUAGAAUGGGCCGAUCAAAAUGUAGCUCUGUUAAGAGUGUUAUAGUUGAUUGUUCUUGUCACUCACUUGGAUUGAGGCACGCGCAUAUUUAUUUAUGCAUGGAUGUUGACUUAAUGGUUGUAAGUGGCCCGUCUUGAAACACGGACCACGGAGUCUAACGUUUACGCGAGUGUUUGGGUGUUAAGCUCAAGUGCGUAAUGAAAGUAAAUGUAGGUGGGAAAUUUUUUUUUUUUUUC
Molecule: ribosomal RNA, 692 nt
Filed under: Gloeandromyces diversiformis f. vanillicarpiformis
Lineage: Eukaryota; Fungi; Ascomycota; Laboulbeniomycetes; Laboulbeniales; Laboulbeniaceae
Description: Gloeandromyces sp. DH-2023d partial large subunit ribosomal RNA
Rfam family: Eukaryotic large subunit ribosomal RNA
Source: RNAcentral